GAUGAACGCUGGCGGCGUGCCUAAUACAUGCAAGUCGAGCGAAUGGAUUAAGAGCUUGCUCUUAUGAAGUUAGCGGCGGACGGGUGAGUAACACGUGGGUAACCUGCCCAUAAGACUGGGAUAACUCCGGGAAACCGGGGCUAAUACCGGAUAACAUUUUGAACCGCAUGGUUCGAAAUUGAAAGGCGGCUUCGGCUGUCACUUAUGGAUGGACCCGCGUCGCAUUAGCUAGUUGGUGAGGUAACGGCUCACCAAGGCAACGAUGCGUAGCCGACCCGAGAGGGUGACCGGCACCACUGGGACUGAUACACGGCCCAGACUCCUACGGGAGGCAGCAGUAGGGAAUCUUCCGCAAUGGACGAAAGUCUGACGGAGCAACGCCGCGUGAGUGAUGAAGGCUUUCGGGUCGUAAAACUCUGUUGUUAGGGAAGAACAAGUGCUAGUUGAAUAAGCUGGCACCUUGACGGUACCUAACCAGAAAGCCACGGCUAACUACGUGCCAGCCGCCGCAGUAA
Molecule: ribosomal RNA, 515 nt
Filed under: uncultured bacterium
Lineage: Bacteria
Description: partial 16S ribosomal RNA
Rfam family: Bacterial small subunit ribosomal RNA
Source: RNAcentral